This is a long non-coding RNA of Papaver somniferum (opium poppy), 474 nucleotides long. RefSeq lists it as uncharacterized. The transcript is spliced from 2 exons. NCBI's taxonomy places the organism in Eukaryota, Viridiplantae, Streptophyta, Magnoliopsida, Ranunculales, Papaveraceae. The record is from RefSeq and is a predicted model, not a curated record.
UAAGUCGAUAGUAUAAAUAAUCGCAAACCCUUUCCAAAUCUCUCGUCUUCUCCGCAGUAACCCUGGCUGGUUUUCGUUUUUAGGGUUUUGAGAGAAGCAAACAAGUUUCAGUUGCAAUCACCACCAUGAGGGCUAAGUGGAAGAAGAAGCGUAUGAGGAGAUUGAAGAGGAAGCGCCGAAAGAUGAGACAAAGAUCUAAGUAGAGAGAAAGAUGACGAAGGAUUUCACUCAUCUAGGGUUUCAUUCUCGGAGUUAGUUCUUAAUUCGUUUUGUUUAAUCUUACUUUAGUUAGUGGGAGUUGAACUAAGAGGAUCUAGAGUUGUUAAGUUUUGUUGUUAUUGUUAGUUCUGAUACAAUCUUAGUGAAUUCGACUUAUUAACAAUGGGUAUUAUCUUUGUUAUGAUACUUGGAGGAAUUCUAUCUUAAUCAGAUUUUGAUGAAUUUACAUAAUAAUCCAGUCUCAGAUCUAUGAUU